GUCCUCAACAGUUGCUGCUUCAUUUCUUCUUCUAUUGCUCCCUGCGGCGGCUACGGUUGUACUCUUCUACUCGUCUCCUCCCCCUCCUCCUCUUCUGUUCAAUACACUUCUUCUCGCCUGGUACUCUUCUACUGAAGUGGAUCUACUCUCCACUAGUUCAUCUGGACAGCAAAUUGGAUUUGAAGAACUGCUAUCAGGCCGUGUGUAGAUCAAGAGCAACUACAAAUAAAGGUUGACAUAUGGAGGUUUGUAUGGAGUGUGAGAAUUCCAGCGAUAAAGAGAUGGAGACAGCCAAGGCUUGGCUGAGGCGCGCAGCACAAGCCCAUCCAAAACGUCCCACCAUUCAAAUCGAUUAGACACGAGUGCUGACUGACAUGCCUCUGCCGCCAGGAAGGCCUUCAAUGUAAUCCCGGAGCCAUGUACUGGUGAUUCCAUCAGUUGCCAUGGAUACUGUUCCAACAUUUGAAACAACUGAUCACUGCACCACUGUAGGCACCGGCAUCUCUUUUGAUUCGUGUACCGGUACUCCGGUAGUGCAGCUCCCAAUAAAGAAGGCUCAUUCUCUCCAACAUGAUUGCCUCGGCUUGUCUUGGAAGCAAAUGCGAUUACGUUCAUGGUGAUGGUGGAUGAUUACCACUAUUCGUCUUCAUGCUAAUAUUGGUGAUGGUGGAUGAAAUAAUUUACAGUGUGUUGGGAGCCUGUUCAAGUUGGUGUCCCGCUUUUUGUGUUGAUCCAACAUGAAUGAGCUUAUGGUGGUAUUGAGAAUGAACAUAUAUGGUGGUGGUACUGAGAGUUGAUGGAUGCUGAAGCAAUUGCCACCAGCAGGGGAGUGAGUGUAAUCUGAAUUCGGAGCUACCUGGCUCGCUGUGAGUCAAUUCAGGGAACGGAAAGAAGGGAGGAUGACGCGGCGUUUUGGCUCCCGGGGUCAGAUGAGUCUGGGAGUGAACAGUAAAUUCGUUAAAAAAUACUAAAAAAGUUCAAUUUUUUUGGUGAAAGAUGCUCGAGUGCGUGAUGUUCAUCAAAAUUUCAGAGUAUUUAAACAUCUGAGUAGCUCUCAACAAAAAGACAAAUUUAAGGUCUAUAAAAAAGUUUACUAUUUUGUGUUGUUCUAGCCUGUUUUUUUCCUGAGAGCUACUCAGAUGUCCGAAUGUGCUGAAACUUGGCACGGACAUCAUGCACUCAAGCAUCUUUCAACACACAAAAAAUCGUACUUUGGAUUUUUCUAAUAUUUAUUAUGAAUUUAUUGUUCAUCAGGUGUAAAUGAGCUCGAGCUCCGAAUUGGAUAUUCAGGACUGUAAGUUGUACUCCUAUGUAACAUAAAAAUGUGAGGAAAUCGGGAAAAUUAUAAAAUGAGAAAAGUAAAAAACUCAGAUUGAAAAUAGAAUAUUCUAGAAAAGACUGUAAACCACAAAUGGCAUAAAUAUUAGGGGAAGUAAGGACUUAUAUAAUAAAAUAAACAUGGGAAUGAUUCUUAAGCUUUCAAUACAGUUUAGUUAAUUUGCUGAAUUUCGCAAAAAAAUGCUGAAUUUUGUACAAUAUAUAAUACGUGUCCUUUUAUUCUAAAAAAAUGUGUCUUUUCUUGUUUUUUCCUUUAUUUGUUUCACAAUGUUUCUCAUCUGUCCUUUUCUAAAUCUUGUGGAUUAUACAAGUUUCUAGAUAUAUUAUUAAAUUUGGAGCAUUUGGUUUUGUCUCCAACUCCGAGUCUCACGGCUGAUUCGUUCCCCUCUCCUUAUCCCCUCGCUACAGUGCAGAGAGGCGACAAGGGAGGGAAUCACCUUCCCUUGAUCCGCCGCCAUCCAGGCCAGGUGUUCCUUCUCUCUCUGUCCGUCGUUUCAGCCAAGAGAGUGAGGAACUCCGUUCCUGCGGCCCCGACGUGUAGAUAGUCGGGUAGUUCUUCCUGGCGGUGUCGUCAAUGUGGGAGAAGCGGUGUCGCGGAGGAAUAAAGGUGUAUGCGCCUUGUCUCCUGCUCGGCGAGGCCCUUGUGACGUAGCCGGCAAGCGUCCGGCGGUGUGAGCCGACCAGGUGGCAUGCUCGGGGUAAGGUCGUGGCGGCGGAGGUGGUAACCUUUCUUUGGACCUUUUUUUCCCUCCCGCUCCAUCUCCGUCUCAAUGAGGUAUGCUCUGGCCUUGCUGUGGAGGAGGUGCAGCGACGUUCCGACGGUCUUCGUCUGGUGGCAUGUAUCACCACAAGAUUCAAGGUCUUGCCGGCUCAGGUGGCAGCGGCGCGUCUGCGUCUUGUCUCGAUGGUGGUGGUGGUCGUUUGCUGGUGACGAGGUGCUUUGUACUGCAGGUGAAACUUCAAUACAAUCUAGGACCUUUCUGCGAAAAGAGCUCCAAGUCUCAGAUUUUUCCGAAACAAAAUAUUACACGUUAGUGGAGGCUGCUUUUUCUUUUCUUCUUGUGGGGGUUAGUGGAGGCUGCUGCUAAUAAUGCGCGGAGAGAUGAGACGAGACGACCGCAAGUCGUUCAUUCCAGGUCCACAAAUACUCCGUAGUUUGUUUCCACUACUUCCUGUCUGCUUCUUUCUUUCUGCUCUCUGCGGCGACUACAGACUACAGUGGUCGCGCCGGUCUCUGCUUCUUUCCUUUGUCUCCGGUUCUCCGAGGAAAGAUACUACGGUGGUCUCCUCCCAAUCUGCGACGGCGACGGCGACAGCGCCCAAGAGUUCGAUCCAUUCAACGUAUGCUCAGCUCAGCAGAGGUGGAGAGUUGCUUUUCGGUGUUGGAGACGCUCUUCUUCAGCUCGCCCUCUUCAUUGAUCCAAGCCAGAACUGGAUCUAUAAUCUAUUCUCCAGUAGUUCAUCUUGGGCUGCUUUUGCUUGCGGAGGACUCUGCAAAUUGGAUUUGAAGGAGCUGCUAUUCAAGAAUUUCAAGCCAAAGACAAUGCUAUAGCCGUCUGUAGAUCAGAGAGCAAAGACAAAAAAAAAGUCGAGAUAUGGAGGCCGCUGCUGGGGCGUUGAGCCCUGUCCUCCGUAAGCUCGGUGAGCUGCUCGCCGGAGAAUACAACCUGGAGAAGCGAGUGAAGAAAGGUGUACAAUCACUUCGUACAGAACUGGAGAUGAUGCACGCCGUACUUCGUGAGGUUGGCAAGGUGCCGCCGGAUCAGCUCCAGGAGCCGGUCCGGAUUUGGGCUGGCAAGGUGAGAGACCUGUCUUGCGACAUGGAAGACGCUGUUGACGACUUCCUGACGCGUGUGGGUGAGGGUUCAGGCAGCAAGCCAACGGACAUGAGGAGUCGAGUCAAUAAGUUCCUCAAGAAGACCACCACAUUAUUUGGUAAGGGCAAAGCACUUCAUCAAAUCUGUGAUGCCAUCAAAGAAGCUCAGGAUCUUGCCAAGGAGUUGGCUGAGCUGCGUAAAAAGUAUGAGCUUGACAUGUUUAGCUCUACCAACGGUGCUACCAUUGACCCUCGCGUGUUAGCUCUACAAAAAGAUGUAGGGGAGCUUGUUGGACUUGACCGCACAACGGAUGAACUUAUUAAAACACUGAUUUGUGAGGACGGGAGUUCCAAGGAGCACUUGAAGACAAUCUCUAUUGUUGGUGUUGGUGGCCUAGGCAAGACAACCCUCACCAAAGCAGUUUUCGAGAAGAUCAAAGCCCAAUUUGAUUGUGCAGCUUUUGUCCCGGUGGGUCAGAACCCAGAUAUCAGGAAAUUUUUCAAAGACCUACUCUAUGGCCUCGACAAAGAGAAGUUCAAAGACAUUCAUAAUACAACAAGAGAUGAGAAACUACUCAUGGAGGAAAUCAGUGAAUUCCUUCUGGAUUGGAUAAGAGGUACCUCGUCGUAAUUGAUGAUAUAUGGGAAGAAGAAAUAUGGAGAUUUAUAAAUUGUGCUUUGUGUAAAAACAAACUCCACAGUCGGGUAAUCACGACAACUCGUAAUGUGAGUGUGUCUGAAGCAUGUCUCUCUUCCAGCGAUGACAUGAUUCACCAAAUGAAACCUCUUUCUGAUGAAGACUCACAGAUACUCUUCCAUAGAAGAAUAUUUCAAAGCGAGGAGAAAUGUCCAGAAGAUUUGCAAGCAGUAUCAAGAGAGAUACUGAAGAAAUGUGGUGGAGUACCAUUAGCCAUCAUUACAAUAGCUAGCCUUCUAGUCAGUAACCAAAGGAUAAAGCAGAAAGAAGAAUGGAUGCAUGUGCACAGUUCGAUGGGCCGUGGAGUUACAGAAGGUGGUAUUGUGAAGGACAUGAAGAGGAUAUUAUCACUCAGCUAUUAUGAUUUGCCAUCCCAUCUAAAGCCUUGUUUAUUAUAUCUAAGCAUCUUUCCUGAAGACUUUGAGAUUAACAGAGAUUUGCUGAUAUGGAGGUGGCUUGCUGAAGGGUUUAUCCAAUGUGACAAAGAUGAAACCAGGCUGUUUGAGAUCGGAAAGAGCUACUUCAACGAGCUUAUGAACAGGAGCUUGAUCCAGCCAGCGGAAACCAAUUAUGAAGGAACAGUAGUAACUUGCCGUAUACAUGAUAUGGUGCUUGACCUUAUAUGCUCGCUGUCAAGUGAGGAGAAUUUUAUCUCCAUAUUGGAUAAUGCUCAGUGGCAUGCACCUAAUCUGCAAAGGAAACUUCGCAGGCUAUCACUUCAUAAUAUCAAGGCAAAGUGUCGGAACCAUCAGUUUGAUAGCACUAGGCUGUCAAAAGUGAGGACCUUUGCUGUUUUUUCUCCUGUUACCUGUGAUUGGUUGCCAUCUCUCUCAAGCUUUCAAUUUUUGCGUGUGCUAGAUCUUGGAAAUUGUGGCAGCCAUGAAAGUAGCUCUGGCAUCAGCCUCAAGUAUGUAGGGAAUUUAAUUCACCUAAGGUACCUAGGGCUCAAGGAUGCAGAUGUUCGCGAACUCCCUGUGGACAUAGGCAAGUUGCAGCUCUUGCAGACACUGGAUAUAGGAGGCACUAUUAUAGAAGAAUUACCUUCAAGUGUUGUUCAGCUCAGAAAUUUGAUAUGCCUACGUGUCAAUUAUAGGGUGAGGCUGCCAAAAGGAAUGGGGAGCUUGAUGUCCCUUGAAGUGCUGGAACAAGUAGGAUUAUCCUCAUCUCCUCACAUUGCGGAAGAGCUGAGCCAUCUGACAGAGGUUAGGACACUCAGUAUUGACUGUGCUAACAUGGACGAGGAUCUGAUUGAUAUAUUAAUCAAGUCUCUAGGCAACCUGCACAAAUUGCAAAAUCUGCGUAUUGAUGAUGGUGGCAGAUUGAUAAAUCGCAUGCGUGAAAGCUGGGUGCCCCCUCCAAACCUCCGUAGUUUUGAUUCAUGGAGCAUCUCUUCUUCUUCGUCGUUCCUGAGACUUCCAAAGUGGGUUAAUUCAAGGUCGCUUCCCCACCUCUCCCGCCUGGAAAUAGAUGUGGAAGAACUGCAAGGGGAUGACAUUCAGAUCAUUGGGAUGCUGCCUGCUCUUCGGUUUCUGCGGCUGCGUGCAAGUCGCGUGAUGGGAAGGUUGGUUGUGAGGGCCGAUGCAUUCCCAUCUGCGAGAUGCUGCAUAUUCUGGGAGUUUCUGACGCCGCCGUGCCUUUUUCCACCUGGAGCCAUGCCAGGGGUUCGGCAUCUUGAGUUCCAGGUAUCUGCGCGGUCGAUCGCGAGUGGCGAGGUUGACUGCGGCCUGGGGCACCUCCCUUCUCUCGAGCAUCUUCAGGUUUCUCUGUGGCGUGAGAAUUCCAGCGAUGAAGAGAUGGAGACAGCCGAGGCUUGGCUGAGGCGGGCAGCAGAAGCCCAUCCAAAACGUCCCACCAUGAAAAUCUAUUAGACACGAGUGCUGAGUGCUGACAUGCCUCUGCCGCCGGUAAGGGCUUGAACAAAAUCCUGGAGUCAGGUACUGUAAUUCCAUCAGUUGCUGUGAAUGUUGUUCCAACAUUCCGAUAGGCAACAAACAAUUCUCUGUGCCGUCGCCCGUCGCAGUCACCAACAAUCACUGUACCACCGCAGCUCCCAAUAAAUGAAGGCUCAUUCCCUCCAACGUAUGUUCAGAUUCUGGCCUUUGCUAGACGGAGGCCUCCGCAUGAUUGUUCAUGACAAACUACUGUAUUUGCUAUUCUUUCUGCAUAUGCUUUCAGAAACUAUUUGUCAAGACUCGUACAAUAAAUGGCUGCCUCUACGUUUAUUUGAUUGUUCACAUACAGCAUCGUUUUGUUUCUACUGGCUUAUUAAUUAAGAGUUGAUUGAACUCAUGCUGGCUUGUUUUGCUUUGCUUGGCACUUGCUUAUUCAGUCAAGGCUCGUACAAUGAAAGGCAGUUUGUUCAACUCCUGUUGUAGCUCCAGAUUUGCUUCAUCCUAUUCGUUAAGC
Molecule: ribosomal RNA, 6257 nt
Filed under: Triticum aestivum (bread wheat)
Lineage: Eukaryota; Viridiplantae; Streptophyta; Magnoliopsida; Poales; Poaceae
Description: partial small subunit ribosomal RNA
Source: RNAcentral